UCUCCUGGAAACGGGUGGUAAUGCCGGAUGCUCCAUCACACCGCAUGGUGUGUUGGGAAAGCCUUUGCGGCAUGGGAUGGGGUCGCGUCCUAUCAGCUUGAUGGCGGGGUAACGGCCCACCAUGGCUUCGACGGGUAGCCGGCCUGAGAGGGCGACCGGCCACAUUGGGACUGAGAUACGGCCCAGACUCCUACGGGAGGCAGCAGUGGGGAAUAUUGCACAAUGGGCGCAAGCCUGAUGCAGCGACGCCGCGUGAGGGAUGGAGGCCUUCGGGUUGUAAACCUCUUUUGUUAGGGAGCAAGGCACUUUGUGUUGAGUGUACCUUUCGAAUAAGCACCGGCUAACUACGUGCCAGCAGCCGCGGUAAUACGUAGGGUGCAAGCGUUAUCCGGAAUUAUUGGGCGUAAAGGGCUCGUAGGCGGUUCGUCGCGUCCGGUGUGAAAGUCCAUCGCUUAACGGUGGAUCCGCGCCGGGUACGGGCGGGCUUGAGUGCGGUAGGGGAGACUGGAAUUCCCGGUGUAACGGUGGAAUGUGUAGAUAUCGGGAAGAACACC
RNAcentral lists this ribosomal RNA (554 nucleotides) under Bifidobacterium breve. RNAcentral's name for it is "bacterial SSU rRNA". It matches the Rfam family "Bacterial small subunit ribosomal RNA", at positions 146 to 710 of the family's 1533-position model. The record is from RNAcentral. Lineage: Bacteria; Bacillati; Actinomycetota; Actinomycetes; Bifidobacteriales; Bifidobacteriaceae.